This is a long non-coding RNA of Peromyscus eremicus (cactus mouse), 1257 nucleotides long. RefSeq lists it as uncharacterized. The record is from RefSeq and is a predicted model, not a curated record. NCBI's taxonomy places the organism in Eukaryota, Metazoa, Chordata, Mammalia, Rodentia, Cricetidae. The transcript has 3 exons.
UGCUACAUGAGGAUAUGGAAGAAGAAUCAUGUUUUCCUCCAUAUUAGAGAGGCAUUGCUUCCCUUUUAUAUCUAGGUAGAAUCACACUGAAUACCAUCACUCAUGCCAACACCCACCGCCACCCACACUGAGGCAGUCGUGUGUGUGACUCCUGCCCUGGGGUGUUUACAGAGUAACUGGGUUUCACCGUUGCUUUCCAUCCUGUAAGGUGCCCAAGUUGGCUAGAAGAGGGUACUGGGUCCCUUGGAGCUGGAGUUAUAGGCAGUUGUGAGCUGCCUAAUGUAGGUGCUAGGAAUUGAACUCUGGUCCUUUGGUAGAAUGAGCGGAGGAGGGCAUCGAUCCCCCGGAACUGGAGUUGUGAGCAGCCAUGUGAAUGCUGAGAAUCCAGCUUGGGUCUUCUGAAGGAACAAGUGCUCUUAAUGGCUGAUUUGCCUCUUAACAUCAAAACAAAGGGCUAGCCUGUGACUCCGCCUCCAGGUGAUCUAACGCCCUCUUCUGUCUUCCUUGGAUACCUACUCACACCUAACAUAUGCAGACACACACUCACAAGUAAAUAAAUAAAAUUUUAACAAAAAAAUCAAAAUACAGGGGCUGGAGAGAUGGCCCAGUGGUUACAAGCACUUUUUGCUCUUGCAGAGGACCCAGGUUCAGAUCCCAGUGCCCACAUGUGGCUCAAAACCACCUGUAACUUCAGCUUCGGGGGAUCCAAUGUCCUUGUCUAGCCUCCUUGGGCACCAGGCACACAUGUGGUGUGCACAUGUACAUGCAGGCAAAACACCCACACACAUAAAAUAAUAACAUAAAAAAAUUAAAAAUCAAAAUACAGAUGUUGAGGAGACAAGGGGUUAUUUUUUAAUCCACAUUAACUGUUAUCAGGUGGUAACGUGAGAGGAAUCAGGGUACAGACAUGGUUUAAAACAGAGCUCCAGACUUCCUUUGCUGGAUACAAUGGUGUGAUUUGUGGAAAAUGCAUGCUCCCAUGAAAACGGAUUGAAAAGGAAAUCAGAUUUUCAAAAAUUAGUCUUUAUGGUAUCUUCAGAGAGAUACCUAGCUAACUAGGAUCUGAGUGGGCAGAGCAUGAGAAGGAAAGGAACCGGAGUGCUGAGCCAAAAUUCUUUAUCUGAUUUCUGCCUGCAAGCAUCUGGCUGUUGAUACGAAGGCUGCUCAACUCCCAUUCUAAGGAGAUGUGGCUGCUGAGCAACUGGAGAAGAGAGCCAAUAAGUGGAGAGAGUGGACUGUGAAAGGCGAGGCUCCAGG